This 259-nucleotide ribosomal RNA is filed under the name uncultured bacterium. RNAcentral describes it as "partial 16S ribosomal RNA". It matches the Rfam family "Bacterial small subunit ribosomal RNA", at positions 524 to 776 of the family's 1533-position model. The record is from RNAcentral.
UACGGGGGGGCAGCAGUGUUGUCGGAUUUACUGGGCGUAAAGGGCGCGUAGGCGGUCGUGACAAGUCACUUGUGAAAUCUCCGGGCUUAACUCGGAACGGUCAAGUGAUACUGUCGGACUAGAGUACAGAAGGGGCAACUGGAAUUCUCGGUGUAGCGGUGAAAAUGCGUAGAUAUCGAGAGGAAACACCUGCGGCGAAGGCGGGGUUGCUGGGCUGAUACUGACGCUGAGGCACGAAAAGACCAGGGGAGCGAACGGG